RNAcentral lists this unclassified non-coding RNA (366 nucleotides) under Acacia courtii. RNAcentral's name for it is "partial external transcribed spacer". The record is from RNAcentral. Lineage: Eukaryota; Viridiplantae; Streptophyta; Magnoliopsida; Fabales; Fabaceae.
GAACGGUCGGCAGGCGAUCCGCGUCGGUCGCGCGAGGUGGUAUGGUUCCCCAGAGGCCGGUUCUUGUGCUGCCUACCCCUUCAGGGGAAGCGGGCCACUUGAUGUAAGCCUCCAUCCGGCGCCCUCCAACGGGCGCAGGAGGACAACGGAGCACCCCCCGCGUUCCACCGAGCCUUCGUCGGUCGCGUGGCGCGCGGGGACGUGCGAUGCUCUCGGACCCAAUGAACGCCGUGGGCGAGGACUCACGUCCCAGUCCCGAUAGAAGCUUCGGUAUAAUGCAUGACGGCCGCUCCCGCCCCCCGACCGCCCCGGCGGCGCGUGGGCGAGGCGCGGCGUCGCGGAGGAAUGCUACCUGGUUGAUCCUGC